Molecule: long non-coding RNA, 510 nt
Organism: Vitis riparia (riverbank grape)
Lineage: Eukaryota; Viridiplantae; Streptophyta; Magnoliopsida; Vitales; Vitaceae
Exons: 2
Source: RefSeq, a predicted model, not a curated record
GUAUUGUGAUAGAUGAUGGUCCUGCAGAAGCUGCACCAGAGAAAUUUGUGGCAGCCAAGUAUUCAUCCGGGAAGGAUUAAAACAAGUGUCAUGUUUCUUUUGCCGUAUCUUUAAUAACACAAGAUGAAGCUAUUUUCAAAUUCUGUGAACACACAUCUAAAACUUGGAAGUCUAAAUGAAGGAGAAAGGAAUAAGAUUCAAUAGUGUUGCCUAUUUGAAUUGCAGAGAGAGCUGUCAGAGGCUAUGAAGCAGAAGAUUCGUGCAGAGUAUGAAGCGGUUGGUGGAAGCCCAGAUAAGCCUCUCCAGUCCAACUAUUUUCUAAAUAUCAUGAUUGUGAUUGCUGUUUUGGCAUUGUUGACAACUCUGUUUGGAAACUAGGUUUGCUGAGUUAUUUAAUGGAAAUUGACUUCGGCUUAUUAAUCAAGGCCUUUCCUAUGUAUAGUAAGUGGCACUGCAUCAAUACAUGAUAUACAUCAUUAUAUGGUAAAGAAACCCAUAUCAUCAGGGUUA